RNAcentral lists this ribosomal RNA (407 nucleotides) under uncultured rape rhizosphere bacterium wr0106. RNAcentral's name for it is "bacterial SSU rRNA". It matches the Rfam family "Bacterial small subunit ribosomal RNA", at positions 27 to 477 of the family's 1533-position model. The record is from RNAcentral.
GAGCGAACGCUGGCGGCAGGCUUAACACAUGCAAGUCGAGCGGGCGUAGCAAUACGUCAGCGGCAGACGGGUGAGUAACGCGUGGGAACGUACCUUUUGGUUCGGAACAACACCAGGGAAACUUGUGCUAAUACCGGAUAAGCCCUUACGGGGAAAGAUUUAUCGCCGAAAGAUCGGCCCGCGUCUGAUUAGCUAGUUGGUGAGGUAACGGCUCACCAAGGCGACGAUCAGUAGCUGGUCUGAGAGGAUGAUCAGCCACAUUGGGACUGAGACACGGCCCAAACUCCUACGGGAGGCAGCAGUGGGGAAUAUUGGACAAUGGGCGCAAGCCUGAUCCAGCCAUGCCNNNUGAGUGAUGAAGGCCCUAGGGUUGUAAAGCUCUUUUGUGCGGAAGAAUAAUGACGGUA